GACGAACGCUGGCGGCGUGGAUUAGGCAUGCAAGUCGAACGGUAUCAUCCUUUCGGGGGUGAGAGAGUGGCGAACUGGUGAGUAACACGUAGGUUAUCUACCCUCAAGACGGGGACAACCCAGGGAAACUUGGGCUAAUACCGGAUGUGAGCAACUUUUAGUUGUUUGAAAGGUGGCGUAAGCUGUCGCUUGGGGAUGAGCCUGCGUCCUAUUAGUUAGUUGGUGAGGUAACGGCUCACCUAGGCAAUGAUAGGUAGGCGGCCUUAACGGGUGGUCGCCCACACUGGGAUUGAGAUACGGCCCAGACUCCUACGGGAGGCAGCAGUCGAGAAUAGUCUACAAUGGUCGGAAGACUGAUAGUGCGACGCCGCGUGAACGAUGAAUCCCUUCGGGGUGUAAAGUUCUUUUAUAUGUGAGCAGUGCUUCUUAUAUUUAACAGUAUGGGGAGAGAGAUAUUAGCAUAUGAAUAAGCAAACGGCUAAACUCCGUGCCAGCAGCCGCGGUAAACUCGU
RNAcentral lists this ribosomal RNA (512 nucleotides) under uncultured bacterium. Its description in RNAcentral is "bacterial SSU rRNA". It matches the Rfam family "Bacterial small subunit ribosomal RNA", at positions 28 to 528 of the family's 1533-position model. The record is from RNAcentral.